CCUACGGGAGGCAGCAGUGAGGAAUAUUGGUCAAUGGCCGAGAGGCUCAACCAGCCAAGUCGCGUGAGGGAAGAAUGUCCUAUGGAUUGUAAACCUCUUUUGUCAGGGAGCAAAGUCACCCACGUGUGGGUGUUGGAGAGUACCUGAAGAAAAAGCAUCGGCUAACUCCGUGCCAGCAGCCGCGGUAAUACGGAGGAUGCGAGCGUUAUCCGGAUUUAUUGGGUUUAAGGGGUGCGUAGGCGGGUUAUCAAGUCAGCGGUAAAAUCGUGGAGCUCAACUCCAUCCAGCCGUUGAAACUGAUGAUCUUGAGUGGGCGAGAAGUAUGCGGAAUGCGUGGUGUAGCGGUGAAAUGCAUAGAUAUCACGCAGAACUCCGAUUGCGAAGGCAGCAUACCGGCGCCCGACUGACGCUGAAGCACGAAAGCGUGGGUAUCGAACAGGAUUAGAUACCCUUGUAGUC
Molecule: ribosomal RNA, 459 nt
Filed under: uncultured bacterium
Lineage: Bacteria
Description: partial 16S ribosomal RNA
Rfam family: Bacterial small subunit ribosomal RNA
Source: RNAcentral